This 72-nucleotide transfer RNA is filed under the name Paulasterias sp. SS-2022. RNAcentral's name for it is "tRNA-Asp". Lineage: Eukaryota; Metazoa; Echinodermata; Asteroidea; Forcipulatida; Paulasteriidae. The record is from RNAcentral.
UAAAGAACUAAUUAAAAUAUAAUAUUGGACUGUCAGACCAAAAUUACUGGUAACCACCCCUGUGCUCUUUAA